RNAcentral lists this transfer RNA (65 nucleotides) under Nodopelta heminoda. Its description in RNAcentral is "tRNA-Val". Lineage: Eukaryota; Metazoa; Mollusca; Gastropoda; Neomphalida; Peltospiridae. The record is from RNAcentral.
AAAAACAUAGUAUAAAAAAGUAUUAUUCACUUACAUUGAAUAGGUGAUCGUUAGAUCUGUUUUUA